Molecule: small RNA, 1210 nt
Filed under: Cryptococcus neoformans H99
Lineage: Eukaryota; Fungi; Basidiomycota; Tremellomycetes; Tremellales; Cryptococcaceae
Description: Cryptococcus neoformans var. grubii H99 hypothetical RNA
Source: RNAcentral
CUGGUGAUUUCCUCUUGACCGUAUGUGCAUGUCCAAAAGAGUAAGAUCCGGUCACGCAGCUCCAGGUGAUAUCUUUUGCACGCCCAAAGCGCUUGAUAACUUUCAAAGUAGAUGAAAAUAUACUUAUUAUCGCAUUUUCCCAGUCGGACGUUAUUAAAAUCCCCCAGGACAAAGCGAUCGGCGCGGUUGUUCCGAAAGUCGCAUCAACCAUCCCGGAGGAGUUUUAACAGUUGCGGAGAAGCUGCUAGAAUGUUUGGCUUUCAGCCAUAGGUCAUUUUCUUUAUAUGAAACACAAUAAUGACAUGGAUCAGAUGGGAAAUAGGUCGUAUUUUAAACUAGGAAGAUAUUGACGCGAAACCCUUCCACCCGUUCGGCUAUACAGCUUCUGUUUAUUUUUGGUCGCUUUCCAACUUUGGGAUCCGCAUUCAUCAAUCUCCAAUCCCACAGGCACAAAACCCAUCCUUUCCCUCAUCGUUGAAAAAGCUUUCCUUUCAAAGCCACAAAAACAACAAUACUAAAUGAGAUCUUUGACUAUCAUCAUAAACCCCCUUCUCACCUUCCUUCUCCGUCCUCAUCCUCAGCCACUUUUUUGGCGGUUUGCUUGCCAGCCUGAAAUUUACAUAGCCCUCAAGAGCUCUCUCAAUGUGCGGAGCAAGCAAGACCCAAAUUCUCACGUCUCAUAGCAGCCAAAGGAUCAUUUGCUACAUCCAACGGUGGAGGAGUGCUGGAAGUGUUGGGAGAGUUAAUAACUCCUGAUUCUCUGAGAGACAUUAGUCCAGAGGAUCAGUAUUACGAAAGGAUCUUGACCAGGUGAAUGAUAUCUGAUCGUGGCAUGGCGAACAGUUGCAUCAAUCAGGUGCCUAGGAGCCCCUCCUUCGGAACCACGCCCAACGCCAGCUGGUGAUUUGGUGGAUGUACCCCAACCCUGUGUUAGGAGAUCGUAAAGACGAAAGACCGACCAAAGUACUGCCAAAGCUUUCACAAGGGGCCCUGCACUAAGGGUGAGGGAAAGCAUUAGGCCAGAUAUAUGUUUCGGUGUGGUGACGCUAGGGUAAUUGCUUACAUGAACAGAGCCAAUUGGUGUGGUUUGACCAAUGCCGCCGCCAGGCUUAGUCCCAGCAACGCCGAGAACAUGGCCACGUCGACCAACGCUGUCCGGAUAUGUAUCAAUAUCUCUAAAAUUAUAUAAAGCUGUUACUUGACCACUCAC